GUCUCUGUGGCGCAAUCAGCUAGCGUGUUUGGUUAUAAACCAAAAGGCUGGUGGUUCAAUCCCACCAAGGGACG
This is a non-coding RNA of Pseudophryne corroboree (corroboree frog), 74 nucleotides long. The record is from the annotation of a RefSeq genome assembly. Lineage: Eukaryota; Metazoa; Chordata; Amphibia; Anura; Myobatrachidae.